Molecule: long non-coding RNA, 235 nt
Filed under: Manihot esculenta (cassava)
Lineage: Eukaryota; Viridiplantae; Streptophyta; Magnoliopsida; Malpighiales; Euphorbiaceae
Description: long non-coding RNA (MESC_LNC007194)
Source: RNAcentral
AACACUGGGGUUAGGGGAGAGGGGUGAGCUAAAAAGCCCAGUGAGUAGAAACAAAGAAAACAGUUCAUUAAUUACAUGCUUUCAUGAAAUGCGUCACAGCACAAACAAAUCAUAUCACGGAUUGGACCCAACCCCAAAACAUCCCUAAGCUAUUUGCCCGGCCACCAUAGAGGGCACCACAGGACUUCGUAAUGCCUGGCCCAGCCAGGUCUUAUCCAUAGGGCUAGUGGGGUCG